CCGUCGUGUAUUAGCUAGCAUCAAUUCAACUGUACGAUUGUAACCAUUUGAUUAACGUGUUGGCAUUAUAUUGUAAAACCAAGGGCGACUUCAUUUUGGUGGGUGAUUUGAUGCGAUCUGUCACGCUGGAGGUAAUUUUGAGGAGAUCGCUCGCGACUAUUAACCAAAUUGGAUGACAGUGAUUUCCUCGGGCGGAUAACAGAACAAUCUAUUUGUUUGCCUAAAAGAUGGCCGCAGCAACGGACGACGAACGAUAGCAAGUACCAAAGGUUGCUCAAUGCGAUCUCGGUGAUAUGGUCAAUGUAUUCCGCCACGGUUCGCUCGUGAUGCAAAACUUUGGUGAGCAAACGACGGCGACAACGGGUUGUGUGCUAUUUGGCAUAGUCAGCGAUGCAAUUGGGAAAUUUUACUGACACAAUCAAAUCUGUUGAAAAUUGCAGAUCGACGUGGAUGGAACUAAGAAGGAAGCGGCCGUACAUGAUAUAAUCAAGAUUAUAGAAGACCUAACAUGGA
Toxorhynchites rutilus septentrionalis is the source of this 513-nucleotide long non-coding RNA. RefSeq lists it as uncharacterized. Lineage: Eukaryota; Metazoa; Arthropoda; Insecta; Diptera; Culicidae. The record is from RefSeq and is a predicted model, not a curated record. The transcript has 4 exons.